CUACGGGCGGCAGCAGUGAGGAAUAUUGCACAAUGGGGGGAACCCUGAUGCAGCAACGCCGCGUGGAGGAUGACGCAUUUCGGUGUGUAAACUCCUUUUAUAUGUCAAGAAAAUGACGGUAGCAUAUGAAUAAGCACCGGCUAACUCCGUGCCAGCAGCCGCGGUAAUACGGAGGGUGCAAGCGUUACUCGGAAUCACUGGGCGUAAAGGACGCGUAGGCGGGUUGGAAAGUCAGGUGUGAAAUCCUACAGCUUAACUGUAGAACUGCACUUGGAACUUCUAAUCUAGAGUAUGGGAGGGGGAGAUGGAAUUAGUGGUGUAGUGGUAAAAUCCGUAGAUAUCACUAGGAAUACCUAAAGCGAAGGCGAUCUCCUGGAACAUUACUGACGCUAAGGCGUGAAAGCGUGGGGAGCAAACAGGAUUAGAUACCCGAGUAGUC
Molecule: ribosomal RNA, 439 nt
Filed under: uncultured bacterium
Lineage: Bacteria
Description: partial 16S ribosomal RNA
Rfam family: Bacterial small subunit ribosomal RNA
Source: RNAcentral